RNAcentral lists this unclassified non-coding RNA (147 nucleotides) under uncultured Dermateaceae. RNAcentral describes it as "sequence contains ITS2". The record is from RNAcentral. Lineage: Eukaryota; Fungi; Ascomycota; Leotiomycetes; Helotiales; Dermateaceae.
CAACCCUCAAGCGUAGCUUGGUCUUGGGCUUCGCCGCUGACGCGGCGGGUCUUAAAAUCAGUGGCGGUGCCGUCGGGCCCUGAGCGCAGUACAUCUCCUCGCUAUAGGACCCCGGCGGAUGCUAGCCAGCAACCCCCAAUCUUCCAU